This 465-nucleotide ribosomal RNA is filed under the name uncultured bacterium. RNAcentral describes it as "partial 16S ribosomal RNA". It matches the Rfam family "Bacterial small subunit ribosomal RNA", at positions 28 to 507 of the family's 1533-position model. The record is from RNAcentral.
GAUGAACGCUGGCGGCGUGCUUAACACAUGCAAGUCGAACGGAAAGGCUCCUGCUUGCCGGGGUACUCGAGUGGCGAACGGGUGAGUAACACGUGGGUGAUCUGCCCUGCACUUCGGGAUAAGCCUGGGUAACUGGGUCUAAUACCGGAUAGGACCACAUCUAGGAUGGUGUGGUGGAAAGUUUUUCGGUGUGGGAUGAGCUCGCGGCCUAUCAGCUUGUUGGUGGGGUAAUGGCCUACCAAGGCGUCGACGGGUAGCCGGCCUGAGAGGGUGUACGGCCACAUUGGGACUGAGAGACGGCCCAGACUCCUACGGGAGGCAACAGUGGGGAAUAUUGCACAGUGGGCGCAAGCCUGAUGCAGCGACGCCGCGUGGGGGAUGACGGCCUUCGGGUGAUAAACUGCUUUCGCUAGGGACGAAGCGCAAGUGACGGUACCUGGAGAAGAAGCACCGGCUAACUACGUG